UACGGAGGAUGCAAGCGUUAUCCGGAAUGAUUGGGCGUAAAGCGUCCGCAGGUGGCUGUGUAAGUCUGCUGUCAAAGAGCGAAGCUCAACUUCGUAAAGGCAGUGGAAACUACACGGCUAGAGUGCGUUCGAGGCAGAGGGAAUUCCUGGUGUAGCGGUGAAAUGCGUAGAGAUCAGGAAGAACACCGGUGGCGAAGGCGCUCUGCUAGGCCGCAACUGACACUGAGGGACGAAAGCUAGGGGAGCGAAUGGG
Molecule: ribosomal RNA, 253 nt
Filed under: uncultured bacterium
Lineage: Bacteria
Description: partial 16S ribosomal RNA
Rfam family: Bacterial small subunit ribosomal RNA
Source: RNAcentral